Molecule: ribosomal RNA, 501 nt
Filed under: uncultured bacterium
Lineage: Bacteria
Description: partial 16S ribosomal RNA
Rfam family: Bacterial small subunit ribosomal RNA
Source: RNAcentral
AUUGAACGCUGGCGGCAGGCUUAACACAUGCAAGUCGAGCGGGGGGAGGUAGCUUGCUACCGGACCUAGCGGCGGACGGGUGAGUAAUGCUUAGGAAUCUGCCUAUUAGUGGGGGACAACAUCUCGAAAGGGAUGCUAAUACCGCAUACGUCCUACGGGAGAAAGCAGGGGAUCUUCGGACCUUGCGCUAAGAGAUGAGCCUAAGUCGGAUUAGCUAGUUGGUGGGGUAAAGGCCUACCAAGGCGACGAUCUGUAGCGGGUCUGAGAGGACGAUCCGCCACACUGGGACUGAGACACGGCCCAGACUCCUACGGGAGGCAGCAGUGGGGAAUAUUGGACAAUGGGGGGAACCCUGAUCCAGCCAUGCCGCGUGUGUGAAGAAGGCCUUAUGGUUGUAAAGCACUUUAAGCGAGGAGGAGGCUACUUUAGUUAAUACCUAGAGAUAGUGGACGUUACUCGCAGAAUAAGCACCGGCUAACUCCGUGCCAGCCGCCGCGGUAA